AUUUUGCGGCCAUCUUUAGCAGUU
RNAcentral lists this small nuclear RNA (24 nucleotides) under Arabidopsis thaliana (thale cress). Its description in RNAcentral is "snRNA_01923". Lineage: Eukaryota; Viridiplantae; Streptophyta; Magnoliopsida; Brassicales; Brassicaceae. The record is from RNAcentral.